RNAcentral lists this ribosomal RNA (552 nucleotides) under Penicillium sp. KQ23. RNAcentral's name for it is "eukaryotic LSU rRNA". The stretch from base 182 to 334 matches the Rfam family "5.8S ribosomal RNA". Lineage: Eukaryota; Fungi; Ascomycota; Eurotiomycetes; Eurotiales; Aspergillaceae. The record is from RNAcentral.
GGGGGCAUCCACUGAGGGCCUUUGGGUCCACCUCCCACCCGUGUUUAUUUUACCUUGUUGCUUCGGCGGGCCCGCCUUUACUGGCCGCCGGGGGGCUCACGCCCCCGGGCCCGCGCCCGCCGAAGACACCCCCGAACUCUGUCUGAAGAUUGAAGUCUGAGUGAAAAUAUAAAUUAUUUAAAACUUUCAACAACGGAUCUCUUGGUUCCGGCAUCGAUGAAGAACGCAGCGAAAUGCGAUACGUAAUGUGAAUUGCAAAUUCAGUGAAUCAUCGAGUCUUUGAACGCACAUUGCGCCCCCUGGUAUUCCGGGGGGCAUGCCUGUCCGAGCGUCAUUGCUGCCCUCAAGCCCGGCUUGUGUGUUGGGCCCCGUCCUCCGAUUCCGGGGGACGGGCCCGAAAGGCAGCGGCGGCACCGCGUCCGGUCCUCGAGCGUAUGGGGCUUUGUCACCCGCUCUGUAGGCCCGGCCGGCGCUUGCCGAUCAACCCAAAUUUUUAUCCAGGUUGACCUCGGAUCAGGUAGGGAUACCCGCUGAACUUAAGCAUAUCAAUAA